Molecule: ribosomal RNA, 420 nt
Filed under: Shigella flexneri
Lineage: Bacteria; Pseudomonadati; Pseudomonadota; Gammaproteobacteria; Enterobacterales; Enterobacteriaceae
Also listed under: 1 other name
Description: partial 23S ribosomal RNA
Rfam family: Bacterial large subunit ribosomal RNA
Source: RNAcentral
GGGUUGUGAGGUUAAGCGACUAAGCGUACACGGUGGAUGCCCUGGCAGUCAGAGGCGAUGAAGGACGUGCUAAUCUGCGAUAAGCGUCGGUAAGGUGAUAUGAACCGUUAUAACCGGCGAUUUCCGAAUGGGGAAACCCAGUGUGUUUCGACACACUAUCAUUAACUGAAUCCAUAGGUUAAUGAGGCGAACCGGGGGAACUGAAACAUCUAAGUACCCCGAGGAAAAGAAAUCAACCGAGAUUCCCCCAGUAGCGGCGAGCGAACGGGGAGGAGCCCAGAGCCUGAAUCAGUGUGUGUGUUAGUGGAAGCGUCUGGAAAGGCGCGCGAUACAGGGUGACAGCCCCGUACACAAAAAUACACAUAUUGUGAGCUCGAUGAGUAGGGCGGGACACGUGGUAUCCUGUCUGAAUAUGGGGGG